RNAcentral lists this ribosomal RNA (174 nucleotides) under Nodularia spumigena AV1. RNAcentral describes it as "partial 16S ribosomal RNA". It matches the Rfam family "Bacterial small subunit ribosomal RNA", at positions 488 to 661 of the family's 1533-position model. The record is from RNAcentral. Lineage: Bacteria; Bacillati; Cyanobacteriota; Cyanophyceae; Nostocales; Nodulariaceae.
AAGCAUCGGCUAACUCCGUGCCAGCAGCCGCGGUAAUACGGAGGAUGCAAGCGUUAUCCGGAAUGAUUGGGCGUAAAGGGUCCGCAGGUGGCUAUGUAAGUCUGCUGUUAAAGAACCUAGCUUAACUAGGUAAAAGCAGUGGAAACUACAAGGCUAGAGUGCGUUCGGGGUAGA